GGGCCAUUAGCGCAGCCUGGUAGCGCAGUAGACUCUUAAUCUAUUGGUCGGGAGUUCAAAUCUCCCAUGGCCCG
This 74-nucleotide transfer RNA is filed under the name Candidatus Woesearchaeota archaeon. RNAcentral's name for it is "tRNA-Lys". It matches the Rfam family "tRNA". Rfam says of the family: Transfer RNA (tRNA) molecules are approximately 80 nucleotides in length. Their secondary structure includes four short double-helical elements and three loops (D, anti-codon, and T loops). Further hydrogen bonds mediate the characteristic L-shaped molecular structure. tRNAs have two regions of fundamental functional importance: the anti-codon, which is responsible for specific mRNA codon recognition, and the 3' end, to which the tRNAs corresponding amino acid is attached (by aminoacyl-tRNA synthetases). tRNAs cope with the degeneracy of the genetic code in two manners: having more than one tRNA (with a specific anti-codon) for a particular amino acid; and 'wobble' base-pairing, i.e. permitting non-standard base-pairing at the 3rd anti-codon position. Lineage: Archaea; Nanobdellati; Candidatus Woesearchaeota. The record is from RNAcentral.